This 253-nucleotide ribosomal RNA is filed under the name uncultured bacterium. RNAcentral's name for it is "partial 16S ribosomal RNA". It matches the Rfam family "Bacterial small subunit ribosomal RNA", at positions 524 to 776 of the family's 1533-position model. The record is from RNAcentral.
UACAGAGGGGGCAAGCGUUAUUCGGAAUUAUUGGGCGUAAAGGGCGCGUAGGCGGCCUGGCAAGUGGAAGGUGAAAUCCCUCGGCUUAACCGAGGAACUGCCCUCCAAACUGCUUGGCUUGAGUCCGGGAGAGGUGAGUGGAAUUCCCAGUGUAGCGGUGAAAUGCGUAGAUACUGGGAGGAACACCGGUGGCGAAGGCGGCUACCUGGACCGGUUCUGACGCUGAUGCGCGAAAGCGUGGGUAGCAAACAGG